UCCCGGGAAAGGCAGUGUUGAUUUUUCGUUCUUUGUGAAAGUUGGUUGGCGGUGUGUUCGGGAUUGGGAGGGGGUUCUCGCCCCUUUGGACGGGGAGCCGGAGGCGGAUUAUUCUCUGUGGGGCAACACCAACAAUUUUCCUUCGUUCAACCUGCGGUGAAAGGUCUAUUGGAAGAAAUACCCCAACUGGAAGCAAACCACAGCUGAAGACGGGAACAGCAACAAGUGAACCAGCCCGAGGACUGAGAGCAUCAACUAGAGAGAACGCUCCUGACUCAGAGUUUCCAUUGAUUCAGUCAGGAGAAAGUUUGGUUAAAAAUGACAAGGAAUUUGUCUAUGGGAAUGUCUAACACAACACACAUGUUUUGCUGUCUCUUUUGAUAUUUAAGAAGUGGAGCAAGGGAUUCACUCGAUUAUCCUUCCUGCUCAGACUGUGGCGAGGGAUUUACUCGGUCAUUUCAAUUGAAGGGGUUGUGAUCAGUAUAGACUAUCACUGGUUUCUACGCUGGACAAAUGUCGACCUCAAAUUGCUGUAAUGCCAGGAUUACCAUUCUGAUCGUCCAGAGUGGGCAUGUUUCUGUUCUGACCUUCUCCAUGUUUCUGUGACAGAGAAGCUGGCCAAACCUGACUGGAAGGGGAGUCUGGUAGGAAUGACGAUGGAGCAGCAAUGGCUGGAGUUUCUGGGAGCAACUCGGGAGGUUAAAACAGGUCCAUUUCAUGAAAUAUAAACCAAGAAAUAAAAAGAAACUGGAAUUACCAGAAAGACUCUGCAGACUAAACAGGAUCUGUAAAGGUCGAACUAUGUAACACCCGACGUGUGAGGAGAUUGUAUCGACACUCACAGAUACACUUCCCGUCCAACCAUUUCUGCGAGAGAAAUGAACCACGAAACAAAGAAAGAGCAUGAAAGUCGCUCAGGGAGAAAAAUCAAACUCCCACCCCACCCCCCGGAUCAAGAAGAACGGGAUCCCAAUCAUCAAACCCCAAAACCCACCCCUCCGCACAAAAGGGAACAAUAACAUCGAGCCCCCCACAAAAAAAAUCACCCCUACCCCGCACAACUGCGGUGGAGCCGGUGUCACCAGUGUAGAGGCGGCCGCAUCGGGAGCAGCGGACACAACGGGCGACCCCGGAAGAUUCACAGGUGAAGUGUCGCCUCACCUGGAAGGAUGUUUGGACAACGGAGAGAGUUCGGCCAUCCGGCCCUUUCAUUGUGACACCCCGAACUCCACGUCAAAUCCGUCCAAACGAAUCUGGGUGAAUUUUAAUGACCAAUAUAUAUCGAUCAGCUGUCUGAAUGAUUCCCUGACUCUGAGAGGAAGGGGUAUCUAUGGUCCACACUGUCAGGGUGUUGAGUUUACCAGGAGACAAAGACUGCAGGGACGAAAGGUUUUCUGUUGACUAAUACACUGUGUGUGGACCCCGCUGGCAAUUCUGGUGUUGUGACCCGAAUCGAGACAAACACCACGCUGCCCACUCCACCAACAACACGGCACAGCCAGACACAUAACAGGGGACUUUACAUCCCACAACCCUGGAUUCAGUGAUGAAACCCGUGAUUAAUGUUGUUGUCCCACUGAAAAGUCCAUUAAGGUGCUUUUAAAUGCCUGCGCUCUCCCACAGGUGACGUCACACAGCUCCUACCCCCCACGCGCCUGACGUCACACAUGGGCUCCCCACACCGGGAUCUGCCCUCACGUGCGCGGUGUCUUACGUCACCCACGAGCUUCAUCGGUACAACGGCUGGGCUAAUAAUCACGUGACCAGCCCAUUCCCCCAUCGCUGUCAACAGAGGAGUCAGGAGCUACGUUAUUCCCAUUGGUGCGAAGCGAUGUCAAUCACUGGUUACAACCAGUCACGGAGGCGGACAAGCCGAGUGGGCGUUACCCCGCUGAGUACGUCUCCCGCUCAAGCGCCAACCGCCUCCUCAGAGCGGAGAAAACCUCAAAGUAAAUGUCCGCUUUCUGAUUUAUUUCCAUUUCCCUCCGAGGGAAGUUGGGGCGUUUGUGAAGCGUCUCCCGCGGCCGGAGUCUGAUGUAUCGCUGAGAGAGAAUCGAGGACUGAGAGGUGAACACACUGAAAUGCACAACAUCAUUACCGGUUGAACCAGGGAUCUCAGUCUCUGAAACAGGGAUAGACUGUGCGGGACUGAAAUGAGGGGAAAUGUCUCCAUUCCGAGGGUGGUGAAUGUUUAUAAAUCCCCACCACAGAGUGCGGUGAAGACUCAGUGAUUGUCCGCACGUAAAACAGAUGUGUGGAGACCGAAGGGAUCGAGGAAAUGAGGAUCGGGCAGAAACACAUGGCUGAGAUGGGUGAGCAGCCGCCAUCUUGCUGAUGGUUAGAGGGGCUGAAUUGCCUCCUGCUGUUUCUCACUUGAUGUUUCAGUGUUCCUGUCCAGCAAGGUUCUGGAGGAAUGUGAAUAGAAAUUAGUGUUUAGAAACACAAAACUGAUUUAAAUGAAACGUGAACAUUUCCUUUUUGAGUCUGAAUUAUGUUUUGGACCUGGAUGGGAAUUGAGCCGGUGACUCUGUGACCUGGACGUGGAGGGAAAAGGAUCGGGGAAGAUAUGGUGUGGAAAAAUAAUCAUGUAUCUGGGGUAAAUAUGGAAUAAUGUGGGGAAUGCGGUGGAUGGGUCGGGCAGCAUGUGAGGGGCGAGGAGCAGAGUCAACAGUUCAGGAGGGAGUCCCUCCACCCGUCACCUGAUCCCGGUUCCUGUUCACAUAUUUCUGCAGAUCUGCAGCAUCUGCGGGUCACUGUUCUAUGUGUCCGUGUAGCUUCAUCUUUCCCCGUUCAGACAAGGCAGUGAGAUCUGGAUCUGUCACGUCCUCUCGUUGUGGGUGGACAAUGUCUUUUUUCUCUGCAACACUUUCUGCAUGUUUCAUUCCACUGUUUUGUGGUGCUGAAGUGCUGCCGAUGUUUCUGGGUGUCUGACCCGUUUAUGUGAGAAUUUAGCCAUUUGUAUUUAUCUGAGCUUCUCAUAAAUGUGUAAAGUUUAGUUCAGCUUCACUUCAGAAUUUCCAAAGCAACACCCAGUCAGUCAAAUUGCUCCACACAAUUAAAAUAGCUUAUUACUUUUUUCUCGAUUUUUGUACUAUAUAUAUGUAUAUUCUUAUUUUAAAUCACAAUUUUUCAAAACUAUUUUUAUCAAUUAGGUUCUGCUGCUACCGCAGGGACAAAUUUCAUGACACAUGCCGGUGCUAUUAAACCUGAUUCUGAUAUUGAUAUGGGAGACCAACCACCGGUCACCUGAUCCCAGUUACCGCAGAUCGUAAUGUGAGAUUGAAGUAUUUUCCAUAUAUUUGCUUUCCACAGAAAUGACAACAGUUCAGUUUCCUUCUGUGGUUCCAGAGCAGAAGCUCAGUCUGUCUAAUAUUUCCACACAAUUAAAAUGGGAAAUUUGUUUAUUAUCAUCAUGUACUGAGCUACAGUGAAAAUCUUGCCUGAUGUACCAUCCAGACAGAUGGAUACAUUUCAACAGUACAUUGAGCUGAUAUACAUCAAAAUAAUCACUGUAACAAAGCAUUAUGGCUGCAGAGAAAGUGCGGUGCAGAUAGACAUAUGGUGAAGGGUCACGUCCAGUUACAUUGUGAGGUUGAGUCCAUUUUAUCAUUCAUUUGGCUUAUAACUGCAGACAGGAAGCCGUCCUUCAGCCUGGUGUUACGCACUUUAAGGCUUUUGUAUCUCUUCCCAAUGGGAUAGCAGGUUUGCAGCAAGAAUGUCUGUGGUUGUGAGGAUCUUUGAGUCCGUGGCCUGUUUUUCCGAGGCAGGGGAAGUAUAGGAAGAGUCCAUGGAGGGGAGGCUUGUUUCUCUGAUGUUCUCUGCAGUUCCUUGCAGUCAUGGGCAGAGCAGUAGCUAGACGAAGGCGUGAAGUGUCGACAAGGAGCUCAGAGACCUCGGCCUUCACCCUGCCUUGUGUAGCUGGAUCCUGGACUUCCUGUCAGAUUACCGGCAGGUGGUAAGAGUAGGCUCCAUCUCCUCUGUCUCUCUGACCCUCAGCACACAUACCCCACAGGGCUGUCUCUUUGGCGCCCUCCUUUACUCUCUGUGCACCCAUGACUUGUGUUGCCACCCACAGCUCCAAUCUGAUAAUUAAAUUUGCUGACAGCACUACAUUGAUUGGCCUAAUCUGAAAUACCGAUAACAAUCAAUCAAAUGCCUUCUGACAAGGCUCGGUUCAAACAAACUUUUCACCCUUCUUCAGGAGAUUGGUCAGAGGAAGAGCGAUAGCAGCAGAGUUCUUACGGUAAUAUCCAUCCAUUCCCAGAAACCUUCUAACAGCCUUCUUUGCAGUCAGAAUAGGAACUUGAGAAAUUGCCUGGACUUUUGCCCGAACAGGAGCCAACUUCCUUUGACCUACAACAUAGCCAAGACAGGUCACACUGGCAUGGCCAAAUUCACUCUUAGCCAAGUUAACUGUAAGGUUGUCCUAGGAAAGCCUGUCAAACAGCUUUUCUACUGCAGAGAUAUGCUCUUCCCGAGUGUCACUCCCUGUGACUAAGUCAUCAAUAUAGGUAUCUGUGUGUUCUCACCCUCGAAUUACAAAAUCAAUCAUUCUCUGGGAUGCUCCUGGAGCAUUUUUCCUUCCAAAAGGCAAAACAUUGUAUUCAUACAACCCAGAUGCUGUCACAAACACAGAAAUGUCUCUACCUCUGUCCGUCAAUGGAACACACCAAUACCCUUUCAACAGAUCAAUCUUUGUAAGAUAUUAGCCAUUCCAACCUUAUCGAUGCAAUCAUCCACCCUAGGGAUAGGAUAGGCAUCAGUUUUUGUUACUGCAUUUACCUUUCUACAAUCAGUGCAAAAUCUAACACUACCAUCAUGUUUGGGCACAAUAAUGCAGAGUGACUCCAAUCUCAUUUUGAAGGCCUAAUAAUACCAUUCUCCAGCAUAUACUCAAUUCCCUGGUCAGCCAAUUUACACUUUUCGACGUUCAUGCGAAGUGGGUGUUGUUUAAUCGGUUUGGCUUGACCAACAUCUACAUCAUGUACUGCGACCGUGGUUUGCCUGGGAACAUCGGGAAAUAAAUCUUUGUACUUCAGAAUUAAUUCCUUCAGCUGUUGUUGUUGCUUUGGCUGCAGAUGAGCCAACUCGUUAUCAAUGUUUUCUAGAACAACCGAGUUCAUUAGCCUAACUGGGACCAUGUUUGGCUUGUGAAAAGUCUCAGACGAGUCAAUUGUUUCAUUCUCAGGGUUACCAGAUUCAUUUGUUUUGACAACAAUACUCACAGAUGGUGCCUGCUUGUCAAAAAAGGCUUUAUCAUAUUUAUGUGCACCACCUGUGUUAGUUUACGUCAGUCGGGUGUUUUAAUAACAGAAUUCACAUUAUUAAUUUGAGAGACUAUCUCAUACGGUCUAUUGAAUUUCGCCUGAAGUGGAUUCAUCAACAUAAGGCAAGCACCUUAUCUCCCACCUGGUAUUUUCUUUCGCGAGCCCUGUUAUCAAACCAACACUUCAUUUUGUUUUGAGAAAUCUUUAAGUUUUGUCUCGCUAGACUACAGGCUUGGUGUAGUUUAUUUUUGAACUUCAAAACAUAGUCUAACGAGUUAACAUGUACAUCCCCAUCAAUCCACGGUUCAUUUUAACAAGGUCAAAGGUCACUCUGCGACCAAAUACAAGUUCAAAUGGAGUAAAGCCCAGUGAUUCCUGUACUGACUCUCUUUCUGUGGACAAAAUCAAAUGUAUUCCUUCAUCUGGACAAAAGCAAAAGUAUCCCUUCAUCCCAGUCUUUUCCAUUUUCAACACAAUAUGUCUUAAUCAUUGUUUUGAGGGUAGAAUGAAAUCUUUCUAAAGCCCCUUCUGGUUCCGGAUGGUAUGCAAAUGAUGCAAUCUGUUUUGCUCCCAAUUCAUAAACUACCUGCUUGAAUAAUGCAGAUAUACAAAUACAUCCUUGAUCAGACUGUAUUUCUUUAGACAAAUCGAAUAAAGUGAAAAUCUUGGUAAGAGCCUUCACCACAGUUUUAGCUUUAAUAUUUCUGAGAGGCAUUGCCUCUGGGAAUCUGGAUGUAGUACACAUAAUAGUUAGCAGAUACUGAUGGCCAGCUUUAGACUUUGGCAAUGGGCCAACACAAUCCACUAUAACUUUGGAAAAGGGUUCACCGAAUGCAGGUACAGGCCACUGGGGUGAGCUCAUUAGGUUUACCCACAACUUGACAAGUGCCUUUUGGAAACUCUUAUUCAGGGUAAACAUAACUUCAUGAAUUAAAGCAAACUGAUCUGCUAAUCCAGCAGAUUCCUGCGGAGUGGCAGCAUCAUUUCCAUCUAAAUACGUCUUUAUGUCAUCAGGGACGCACCUUUGGAAUUCUUCAAUUAAAACCAAAUCUCUCAA
Molecule: RNA transcript, 6324 nt
Organism: Hypanus sabinus (Atlantic stingray)
Lineage: Eukaryota; Metazoa; Chordata; Chondrichthyes; Myliobatiformes; Dasyatidae
Gene name: oocyte zinc finger protein XlCOF6.1-like
Exons: 9
Source: RefSeq, a predicted model, not a curated record